UCACGACCACAACUCUAGGCUUCAUCACUGACAAUGAAAAGGUUAAAAAAAAUGCUGUUUCUUGUUUCUAAAUGAUCAUACAGUAGUUAAAGUGUUAGAUCCAUGGGUUUGCCGUGACACCGAGCAGAGACCUGCAGUCCAGCGGUGCAGGAUGUCUCUCUGAAGCAGAGGAUGGCGGUCGUCUUAAUUUAUGUCAGUCUUCUCAGACAGCCCACAAACAUUGGAAGACUUUCUGAUCAGAGACUGGAGCGGUGGUCCGGAGAGAGGAGGAUGUGGAGCCGGAGCUCGUCUGGGGGGCGGAGCUCGGCAGCACCUGGUGUCGUUGUGUCCUGAGUCUGAAUCUGCUGUCAGGAGGCUGACCUGGACCAUACCAUGCGUGGUGAAGCAUGUGUAACAAAUGUUCGCACAUUUGGAGUACUGUGCCGGGAAGAGGACGUGCUGUCCCUGAAGGAUGUCCGAGCUGAAAGAUGUCCGAGCGGAGACACCGGAGCGUCCUGUCAGCAGCAGAUAAACACUACUUCACCUAAGAGACUUGAGUAUCCAGUUCUUCAUUGACCUUCAGCAUUCAGUUGUUUGUCUUCACCUUUUCAGGUAAGCAAUUAAAAAAAAUGCUUUUGUAAUGUUGAGAAACACUGAAAUUAUUAUUCAUAAAAAACUUUCAACCACUGUUCUGUGAUGUCACGUAUAGUGAUAUACAAAUAUAUCUGAAGGAAAGGUGUAUUUGGGAUAAUCAAUAUUAUUAGUAUUAUUCAUGUAUUUAUUCAUUUUUAAAUCAGAGAAUGGGGGAAAAUAGAUUAUUAGUACAAAAACUAGUAACUAGUAAAAAAAAAAAUUGGUAACAAUAAUGUUCAUCUAUUAAUUGACGCUUGGUCAAACUCUCAUCUAAUUAAGUAUUGCUGUCUCAUUAAUGUAUUAAUGUAUUUAUUUAUUUUGUCGGCUAAAACCUGAGGAGAAGAAGAAGAUGACUUUAUUAAUCCCACAAUGGGAAAUUCAACCUCUGCAUUUAACCCAUCCUUUUUUACACACAAGUGAACACACCAUGCAAGGAGCAGUGGGCAGCACAUUACUGCGCCCGAAGCCAUCACCAUGUUGUUUUUUCACAUCAGAAUAAGUAUUUCACAUGAUGCAGAUCUUUCAGCAUGUGGUCCUCAAUAUAUAGUAUAGAAGUCACUGUAUUUUCUGACUUUUCCAGGUUUCCUGUGUCCAGCAUCUUCAAGACAGACUAAGCUAACUUUUCAUAUUUUUUGCACAUUUAUAUUUAGGUUAGGUUUAUAGUAGAGUUUUUAGUUUGUAUAGUUUAGCUUUUUAUGCUGGUCUAGGGACAGUUAAGUUAGCAAAUUAAUUUAGUUCAGAUCACUUACAGUUGCAUAUUAUUGUUACAAUUGUGUUAUUUUGUGAGUUAUUGUUGUACAGGCUAUUGUAUAUUGCAGGACCAAGUGAGACGAGGAAGACCACUGCUUCCAAGAUGCCGCGCUCAGAAAGUGCGUUGGACAAGUGUCGACCUUGCAGAUCCUGCCCCACUGAGCCCAACCACUUCCGACCAUGGGGUACCUCAAAGACCUCCGUCAACCAGCCGGCUGUGGAUGAUGGAUAACGCACCCACAACUCCUUCUCCAGUCUACAAGACACCCCCACAGUCCAAGAACAGCUGGAUGACCUCUGGACCCACUUGCCCCCGUUCACCAGUUGAAAAGAUAGGCUUUUUAAAAAAUUCUUCAAUUGUUAAUUCUGCACAAAGUGAUACACAAAACAUUGUAUGUCUUCCAUUUCAACAAACACAAACAUGAAAUGUAUAUUUCAAUACAUAACUUAAUGCAAAUCAAUCAUACUAAACAUCAUCUUUUUUUUUAAACCAA
Long non-coding RNA from Centropristis striata (black sea bass), 1856 nucleotides. RefSeq lists it as uncharacterized. The record is from RefSeq and is a predicted model, not a curated record. The transcript is spliced from 3 exons. NCBI's taxonomy places the organism in Eukaryota, Metazoa, Chordata, Actinopteri, Perciformes, Serranidae.